Molecule: ribosomal RNA, 401 nt
Filed under: uncultured bacterium
Lineage: Bacteria
Description: bacterial SSU rRNA
Rfam family: Bacterial small subunit ribosomal RNA
Source: RNAcentral
GCGAGAGCCUGAACCAGCCAAGUCGCGUGAAGGAAGACUGCCUUAUGGGUUGUAAACUUCUUUUAUACCGGAAUAAAAAGGCUUACGUGUAGGCCAUUGCUAGUACUGUAUGAAUAAGCAUCGGCUAACUCCGUGCCAGCAGCCGCGGUAAUACGGAGGAUGCGAGCGUUAUCCGGAUUUAUUGGGUUUAAAGGGUGCGCAGGCGGGCUUUUAAGUCAGAUGUGAAAGGCUACGGCUCAACCGUAGUAAGCAUUUGAAACUGCAGGGCUUGAGUGCAGGAGAGGAGAGUGGAAUUCCUAGUGUAGCGGUGAAAUGCGUAGAUAUUAGGAGGAACACCAGUGGCGAAGGCGACUCUCUGGACUGUAACUGACGCUGAGGCACGAAAGCGUGGGGAGCAAACA